GUUGUGGACGAAGCGGCUAAAACUUACACAACUCGCCCAAAGCACCCUGCCCUUCGGGUCGCUGAGGGUUAACUUAAUAGAAACGGCUACGCAUGUAGUACCGACAGCGGAGUACUGGCGGACGGGGGUUCAAAUCCCCCCGGCUCCACCA
RNAcentral lists this transfer-messenger RNA (151 nucleotides) under Pseudomonas sp. RNAcentral describes it as "partial transfer-messenger RNA". It matches the Rfam family "transfer-messenger RNA", at positions 219 to 374 of the family's 374-position model. Rfam says of the family: Bacterial tmRNA, also known as 10Sa RNA or SsrA, is named for its dual tRNA and mRNA-like properties. Its role is to liberate the mRNA from a stalled ribosome. To accomplish this part of the tmRNA is used as a reading frame that ends in a translation stop signal. The record is from RNAcentral. Lineage: Bacteria; Pseudomonadati; Pseudomonadota; Gammaproteobacteria; Pseudomonadales; Pseudomonadaceae.